ACUGAGCAUGGGGUGGUGUGAGGGCAAGAAUCCACAUCACAUUGGGCUUUGGAAGACAGGAUUGCACAGCAUGGAAGUGAUCUCCAAGAGCCUUCUAUCUUCAGUUCAGCUGCCCCACCUCUUGAGAUUUGUCCCCACCUCACAGAGGUAUACAGGGUAGGGGAGAAUCUGGUUCUAGAGGCCCUAGUGUAGCAUCACCAGUUCCCUUUUUCAGAUAAAUGUCCAGAUCAGGGGAAACCUGCUGUUUCUGGAGGUUCUCAUUCUCACUGCUUAUUCCAUGUGUAGCUGAGACUGAGUCAUAAGGGAAGGGUUCAUCCCUGGGAAGAGGGUCUGUUUAUUGGGUGAUAAAUGUUGGAAAAAAUAUAAGAUGGCCAUAAAUUGAAAAAAGAACCCAAUAACUCAAUUAUUCUUCCACCUGGCUAGCCUUAAAUCUUUCUCUCUUUUUCUUGAAUAGAAUACUAUACUAGGUAUUCUCCUUACCUGGACUAUCUUUGGGAUAUUAUAUGAGGCUCAGUGCAUUGAUAUUCCGUUGGAGAGCGAUAUGGAAGAUCUAAGAAAUGAUUGCAGAAAUCGUAAUCAUGACUUUAAUGAAUGGGACACUUCCUGGAUUACUGAUGACUGUGAAAUGUGUCAUUGUUCCCCGAAAGGAAUAGAUUGCACUAGCGUUAUUUUAAGGCCUAUGGGAUAUGACAAAAAGAAAUGCAAGGAAGUUUUCAAUGCAGAAGAGUGUAUUUACAAAGCUGUAGAGAAAAAUAAUCCCUCUCAAAGCUGUAAAGUCUCAAAAUAUAUUAUUUAGUCCUUCUACCUCCUUCUGUUUUUGCUGCCAAAGUCACCAUCUCCUAAUGGAACUUGUGCUCACAUGAAAUAAUGACUCUCUACUUGGAAGUCGGAACAGAAGACUGUGAGCUAUGUGGGCUGGACCUUGGAUUUCCAUUCUCUUGAAGGUCUUGUCAUGUCUCAGGCACUCUGAUUCAGACCACAGAGUGCCACCUCUCGGCCUCCUGAAAGUUGUAUAAGUACCUCCUGUAACCUGUUGUCUAAUGAAUAACUCAAGAAAAUAUAUGUUCCCCUAGAAUGAAAUGGAAUUCUGCUCUUUUCCCUUAUAGCAAUCGACAUCCAAAGUCAUUAUGGUGGUGGGCGAUUUCAUUAUGUUCUUUCUCAGAGGUAAUCCCUAGGAAGUACUCUUUGGGCUAUUAGACUGAAUUUUUUUUGUUUUUGUUUUUAUGUCUACUCAGCUCCCAGAUCUGUGUUUGGGAAUCCUGGCACCACAAACCUGGUAGAAUCAGGAUUCUAAAGAAUGUAGGAGAAAAUGGAAAGAGGGAUAUCAUGUUCAAGGUGGUAUAUUUACCAAUGAUGACUUUCAGUUGGGUAGCAAGACAAAAGAUAUCAUGUACGUGUAGGAAUGAUAGGAUCCUUAUGUUGUAGGGAUUGAUAGGUCCCCUACAUU
This is a long non-coding RNA of Monodelphis domestica (gray short-tailed opossum), 1447 nucleotides long. RefSeq lists it as uncharacterized. NCBI's taxonomy places the organism in Eukaryota, Metazoa, Chordata, Mammalia, Didelphimorphia, Didelphidae. The record is from RefSeq and is a predicted model, not a curated record.